UGUUGCUAAAUACAUCACAGGUCAGAGCAAGCUGCGAUAUCUUCCUGUCACAGGUUGAGUUGGUCCAUUGAAAGACUGGGGCACCGCUGCAUCUUUUGUCAGGUUUAGCCCAUCUCCCUGUAUGAUUGGAAUGAAUACAAGGGUCACCUGACAGAAGAAUGCAUCUAAAUCAGGCCUGCUGGCAGGUAAAAGGGCAGCCUGUGGUCAUUCAAGAGAGAGACCCCCUCCAGCCCCAAAAGUUCAGAGAGCCACUCUCUCUCCUUAGAGAGGAGAGCCUGUGAAGAGGACAGGUGACACUUUUCCAGAACUCCAAGGCAGAAGACUUUUGGGGGAAGAGAUUUACAAGGAACUGGAAACUAUGCAGGGAUAUGCCUCCAUUGAUGGACCUGCAGGAUUCAGAAGUCCCAGCUAGGAGAGGAGUUGGACUACAAGGAUGGGCAUGCUCUGAUAAAGACCUGGAAAAACUUGAGGCAUUAUAAACUGAAAGGAAUAUUUGUGGCUGGAAAUGAAGAAGGAAAAAAAACCCUUCUUCGCUUCCAGUCUGAUGAAAAAAAUCACGAAAAAUCCAUCAGCUGGAAGAAGAAUUAAAAACAGCCAAACACUUUCUAAAGGAGACCCAGAAUUAUGCUGAAGAGAUGAAAAAUAAGAGUUUGUCUCAGGAAAUAGAAUUGGAAGCUCAACAAGCAGAGAUUCGGGAUUUAAAAAGCAAUAAUAAAUUGCUCCAGGAUUCAGUCCAGGAGCUACAACUUGAAAAUGGAACCCUUAAGGACAUUAACAAGGCUUUAGAACAAGAAAAAAUGGACAAUCUGAAGUCUACAAUUCAACUGAAGAAGCAAAAUGGAUUUGCUCACAGUAAAAUGAAGACGUGGAUGAAAUCCUGUGCAGAUGAAGUUGCCAUCCACCUACAUUCACUGAUCCAUGAGGAUGAGCCAGAGUAUGAGCCAGGCGGACUCCCAGAGGUGGUCAAAAAAGGGUUUCCUGCUAUUCCUAUUGUGAAAACCGACCCUUACAUUUUGUGCAGAACAACUUUUCACCUAAGGACCAGUCCCCGUCUUGCUGCCCAAAGCCAAAAAUUGUCACCAGGUUCCCAACUUUUACGAAAAGGCAGGUCAGAUAAUCUAGGGGUGAUCUGAAAACCGACAGCUGGUGGCAGCAAAUCACAAAAGGUAACU
RNAcentral lists this long non-coding RNA (1172 nucleotides) under Chrysemys picta bellii (western painted turtle). RNAcentral's name for it is "lncRNA (ENSCPBG00000020238.1)". Lineage: Eukaryota; Metazoa; Chordata; Testudines; Emydidae. The record is from RNAcentral.